This 20-nucleotide transfer RNA is filed under the name Chamaecrista nictitans var. pilosa. Its description in RNAcentral is "partial tRNA-Glu". Lineage: Eukaryota; Viridiplantae; Streptophyta; Magnoliopsida; Fabales; Fabaceae. The record is from RNAcentral.
GCCCCCAUCGUCUAGUGAUU